RNAcentral lists this long non-coding RNA (564 nucleotides) under Dermacentor andersoni. RNAcentral describes it as "uncharacterized LOC126540612". The record is from RNAcentral. Lineage: Eukaryota; Metazoa; Arthropoda; Arachnida; Ixodida; Ixodidae.
AUAAAGAACGGAGAGCGCUGGAGUUCUAGCAGAUCCUUUAUUCCAAAUGACGUCCGCAGAAAAAAAAAUUUUGACGUCGCACUUUAUUCCCAUGUGACAAAGGUUCUUUUUGAAGGCGCAACUGCUGUAGGAGUGGAGUACAAGCGCUACAGCGGAACACACUCCGUUCGGGCAAAGAAAGAAGUAAUUCUUUGCGCCGGAGCCAUAGCCUCUCCUCAGCUGCUGAUGCUUUCAGGCAUAGGACCUCGAGAACAUCUCGAGUCUCUUGGGAUAAACGUAAUAGCAGACCUUCCUGUGGGAGAAAAUCUAUUCGAUCACAUGACCGUGAACGGAAUAGCGGCAACAUCUGCAAAGAACAUCGAAAUCAACUAUUAUUUACCGUCUACAAUACCACUGUAUUCACUGUUUAGAACAGGGCCACUUAUUCAUGCUUUUGGUGUCGAAGGUAUCGCCUUCUUAAGCACACCAGACGUCGAUCCCACUCAUCCGAACAUUCAAUUUCUCUUCGUGACCCUGAAUCCCACUACUCCUGAAGCAGGAUACAUAGCCAGCGUAAUCGGAAUA